RNAcentral lists this ribosomal RNA (497 nucleotides) under uncultured bacterium. RNAcentral's name for it is "partial 16S ribosomal RNA". It matches the Rfam family "Bacterial small subunit ribosomal RNA", at positions 28 to 507 of the family's 1533-position model. The record is from RNAcentral.
GAUGAACGCUGGCGGCGUGCCUAAUACAUGCAAGUCGAGCGAACAGACGAGGAGCUUGCUCCUCUGACGUUAGCGGCGGACGGGAGAGUCACACGUGGAUAACCUACCUAUAAGACUGGGAUAACUUCGGGACACCGGAGCUAAUACCGGAUAAUAUAUUGAACCGCAUGGUUCAAUAGUGAAAGACGGUUUUGCUGUCACUUAUAGAUGGAUCCGCGCCGCAUUAGCUAGUUGGUAGGGUAACGGCUUACCAAGGCAACGAGGCGUGACCGACGUGAGAGAGGGGUAGGCCACAUUGGAACGGAGACACGGACCAGACUCCUGCGGUAGGCAGCAGUAUGGAAUGGGCCGCAAUGGGCGAAAGUAUGACAGAGCGACGCCGCGUGUGUGAUGAAGAUCUUCGGUUCGGAAUACUCGGUUAUUAGUGGAGAACAGAUGUGUAAGGAACUGAGCACGUCGUGACGGUACCUAGUCAGAAAGCCCCGGCUAACUACGUG